Molecule: non-coding RNA, 5706 nt
Organism: Oncorhynchus mykiss (rainbow trout)
Lineage: Eukaryota; Metazoa; Chordata; Actinopteri; Salmoniformes; Salmonidae
Source: RefSeq, a predicted model, not a curated record
AGGGAGCUCCACUGGGAGGGGGGGUGGUAGUCAUGGUGUGUGGUUUAAGUUUAACCACAGAACUAGUCCUCUAUAGAGGUAGUAGUUUAACCACAGAACUAGUCCUCUAUAGAGGUAGUAGUUUAACCACAGAACUAGUCCUCUAUAGAGGUAGCAGUUUAACCACAGAACUAGUCCUCUAUAGAGGUAGCAGUUUAACCACAGAACUAGUCCUCUAUAGAGGUAGCAGUUUAACCACAGAACUAGUCCUCUAUAGAGGUAGCAGUUUAACCACAGAACUAGUCCUCUAUAGAGGUAGCAGUUUAACCACAGAACUAGUCCUCUAUAGAGGUAGUAGUUUAACCACAGAACUAGUCCUCUAUAGAGGUAGCAGUUUAACCACAGAACUAGUCCUCUAUAGAGGUAGUAGUUUAACCACAGAACUAGUCCUCUAUAGAGGUAGUAGUUUAACCACAGAACUAGUCCUCUAUAGAGGUAGUAGUUUAACCACAGAACUAGUCCUCUAUAGAGGUAGUAGUUUAACCACAGAACUAGUCCUCUAUAGAGGUAGCAGUUUAACCACAGAACUAGUCCUCUAUAGAGGUAGUAGUUUAACCACAGAACUAGUCCUCUAUAGAGGUAGUAGUUUAACCACAGAACUAGUCCUCUAUAGAGGUAGUAGUUUAACCACAGAACUAGUCCUCUAUAGAGGUAGUAGUUUAACCACAGAACCCGUGGUUAAACUAAGCCCACUGACAGUCAGCUAGCCUCCUCUCUCUCUCCCCCUGACAACUCUCAGUUCACCUCUAUACAGCAAUAGGAUUACCAACUCCUCAUUCUGAAUCCAAAAUGUCAAGGUCCAGAGAUUUGACACUGAAUCUUCUAGUGUGACUUCACCACAAGUCUCUCCGUUACUCUGAGACGAGGGCUACAUGCAGAUCAGUUGUCAAAUCAGAAAUGUAAUUCAUGACUUAAAAUGGCUGUUUAUUAAUUAACUCAAUUCAAUUCUGAACUGACCCCAACCUUAAUGUGAAGGGUAUGACUAGUGCCAAAUGGAAACAUUUUUUUUAUGAUAUUUAACUAGGCAAGUCAGUUAAGAACAAAUUCUUAUUUACAAUGACGACCUACUCUGACAACGCUGGUCCAAUUUGCGCCUCCCUAUGGGACUCUCAUUCAUGGCAGGUUGUGAUACUGCUUGGUCUGUAGGGACGCCUUUAGCACUGAGAUACAGUGCCUUAGACCGCUGCGCCACUCGGGCAGGACCAGUGAUUACAAGUCAUGUGUCACUGACCAUUUAGAAUAAAUAGUGACUUAGGACAGUUACCUGUACUACUGAUGCCUCAUAAACACCUAUGAGAAUACUGCCAGACAGCUUCUGCUGCCUAGUGGAACGUCCAGGACCCCCGGUAAACUUCUGUUUCAGACUCAUUUGGUUACACUGCUGUUAUGGAGCCAUGCAUGUUCGUUUUUUCAUUUCCUUCUCGAUUUGCCUUUACUUUGUCUAUAUUUCGUCGUACAGCAUAAGGAGGCUUAUCCCAGCUGUCCUUGUGGCAGAGAAGAGGGUUAUUGAUACAUGUUUCUGCUGCAUUGUGGGUGUUUGUUUUAGUCCAUAUGGAGCACAUUGAUCCAACGAGCAGGAAGUGAAAAAUAUUUUUUUAAAUAACGUGUUUUUUCUUAGUUGUAAUAAUCCAACCACGUGAUUAUUUCAAAUGCAUUUCACAUUUCCACCUACAAGGUUGAGAUAUGUGAAGGAACAGAACAGAGAGAAACUUGGGGACACGGUGAAGUACUGAAUGAGAAGUCUUCAUAUGUAUGUGCUAUUUGUCUGCUUCCUGCCGUUCUACUGCCUCUGGUUAUGAUGACAACUAUUUUGUUCUGCCUUUGGACCCAAAUAGUUCCGCAAACUGGAAUUAACAUUUCAUUUCAAUGUGAAGUAUUCAUGUUGUGUUUAACUUGUUUUUCACCAAGGACAGAAAUGACAGAUUGCAGAUUCUAUGAUUUUCAAAACCAGUGAAAAACCAGUCUCUCUUUUUACGUGUUCAUAUUAGAAGGGCCUGUUUUGACCCUGAGCCAGUCCUAAUAUGGACACCAUAGCUGCCACACCACGUCUCUUUAUCUACCAGAAAACGACAUCUGUACUUGGUUGGAAAGGUUUUGGCCCCUUAGUAUUCUCCUAUACAGUAUGUAGUUGGAAAGGUUUUGGCCCCUUAGUAUUCUCCUAUACAGUAUGUAGUUGGAAAGGUUUUGGCCCCUUAGUAUUCUCCUAUACAGUAUGUAGUUGGAAAGGUUUUGGCCCCUUAGUAUUCUCCUAUACAGAAUGUAGUUGGAAAGGUUUUGGCCCCUUGGUAUUCUCCUAUACAAUAUGUAGUUGGAAAGGUUUUGGCCCCUUAGUAUUCUCCUGAACAGUAUGUAGUUGGAAAGGUUUUGGCCCCUUAGUAUUCUCCUAAACAGUAUGUAGUUGGAAAGGUUUUGGCCCUUUAGUAUUCUCCUAUACAGUAUGUAGUUGGAAAGGUUUUGGCCCCUUAGUAUUCUCCUAAACAGUAUGUAGUUGGAAAGGUUUUGGCCCCUUAGUAUUCUCCUAAACAGUAUGUAGUUGGAAAGGUUUUGGCCCCUUAGUAUUCUCCUAUACAGUAUGUAGUUGGAAAGGUUUUGGCCCCUUAGUAUUCUCCUAAACAGUAUGUAGUUGGAAAGGUUUUGGCCCCUUAGUAUUCUCCUAAACAGUAUGUAGUUGGAAAGGUUUUGGCCCCUUGGUAUUCUCCUAUACAAUAUGUAGUUGGAAAGGUUUUGGCCCCUUAGUAUUCUCCUAAACAGUAUGUAGUUGGAAAGGUUUUGGCCCCUUAGUAUUCUCCUAAACAGUAUGUAGUUGGAAAGGUUUUGGCCCCUUAGUAUUCUCCUAUACAGUAUGUAGUUGGAAAGGUUUUGGCCCCUUAGUAUUCUCCUAUACAGUAUGUAGUUGGAAAGGUUUUGGCCCCUUAGUAUUCUCCUAUACAGUAUGUAGUUGGAAAGGUUUUGGCCCCUUAGUAUUCUCCUAAACAGUAUGUAGUUGGAAAGGUUUUGGCCCCUUAGUAUUCUCCUAAACAGUAUGUAGUUGGAAAGUAUUCUAUGACACAAUCAGCAGCACAAGUACUGUAUCCUCCACCACUGCAGUAGAACUGUAUUAGCUAUGCCUGUUGUACCUAAUACUAUAUCAUCAUGCAUGAUACCUCAAUGUGAGUGUUAUUGCUCUUUACCCUGAGUAUUUGUUAGUUCAAUUAAUAGUAUUUUCCAUUUUUGUCCCGAGGAAAGAUGGUUUGAGGGACAGCUUCUAUUGCUGUUUGGAGAUGGAAAGAAAUCAGUAGCACAAAUUCUGUAGUAACUUUCUGUUGUUAAGGUAAAACACACCAUGGAAAAGGUUUAAGUGUUUAAUACCUUACACCACUGUAUACAGUUAAUUCACAAACAUACACUUACUGUUCAAUAUAGGAUUCAUCUUUACUGUUCAGUAUAGGAUUAAUCUUUACUGUUCAGUAUAGGAUUAAUCUUUACUGUUCAGUAUAGGAUUCAUCUUUACUGUUCAGUAUAGGAUUCAUCUUUACUGUUCAGUAUAGGAUUAAUCUUUACUGUUCAGUAUAGGAUUCAUCUUUACUGUUCAGUAUAGGAUUAAUCUUUACUGUUCAGUAUAGGAUUCAUCUUUACUGUUCAGUAUAGGAUUAAUCUUUACUGUUCAGUAUAGGAUUCAUCUUUACUGUUCAGUAUAGGAUUAAUCUUUACUGUUCAGUAUAGGAUUCAUCUUUACUGUUCAGUAUAGGAUUAAUCUUUACUGUUCAGUAUAGGAUUAAUCUUUACUGUUCAGUAUAGGAUUCAUCUUUACUGUUCAGAAUAGGAUUCAUCUUUACUGUUCAGUAUAGGAUUAAUCUUUACUGUUCAGAAUAGGAUUCAUCUUUACUGUUCAGUAUAGGAUUCAUCUUUACUGUUCAGAAUAGGAUUCAUCUUUACUGUUCAGAAUAGGAUUCAUCUUUACUGUUCAGUAUAGGAUUCAUCUUUACUGUUCAGAAUAGGAUUGAUCUUUACUGUUCAGUAUAGGAUUCAUCUUUACUGUUCAGAAUAGGAUUCAUCUUUACUGUUCAGAAUAGGAUUGAUCUUUACUGUUCAGUAUAGGAUUCAUCUUUACUGUUCAGAAUAGGAUUCAUCUUUACUGUUCAGUAUAGGAUUCAUCUUUACUGUUCAGUAUAGGAUUCAUCUUUACUGUUCAGUAUAGGAUUCAUCUUUACUGUUCAGCAUAGGAUUCAUCUUUACUGUCAAAUAUAGGAUUCAUCUUUACUGUUCAGUAUAAGAUUCAUAUUUACUGUCAAAUAUAGGAUUCAUCUUUACUGUUCAGUAUAGGAUUCAUCUUUACUGUUCAGUAUAGGAUUCAUAGUCAUCCUGGCUUCUACUGUUAAUUUAGUCAUAUUUAUCAUGACCGAUGUUUUGGUCUGUCACUGUUUUUUAAAAACUAUUUCAACAUAUUCAAAAAUACUUCUGUUUAUUUUAUUGUGUUGAUGAAGUGUAUUUAAUAACAUGAAUGAGGGUUUUUACAGACGCAGCACACGUCACCUCAUUCAGUAUUAUCUUCGGAUGAUAUUUCAAUACAUCCUGAUAAUUUGACACAAUCUUAAUUGCAUCUUAAUUGCACAAAUUGUCGUAUUAGAGAGGACACAUUCUUUCGGUUACAUUUUUUGUGUUGAAAUUGAUAUACCUAUCAAACCAAUGUAAUUGUACAGUUGUUUGGACUUUCCUCCAGAUUGAACACACUAUUGUCCCAUGACAAAAUGUGAAUAGUAUUUUUAUAAAGCACAGAGACGAGGCGACCCGCUGACAUGUGUCCAUAGGAGGAGAAUGCUUUGACCUUUUCCCACUCUUCUCUCUGUUUCACGUUCUUUUCUUUUCCUGUUCUUUUUCCCUUCUUGUCUGUUUAUCAGGUGUCAGCGUUAGAUAUGACAGAGCUUCUGUGUGUACGGUAUGUGUACUUUGGGUAGUACAUUUUGAUUUGAAAUGUAAAACACCCUUGUUGGGUACUCGCCUGUGAAACUGGCUAGUUGACCUGUAUGAAGCAUCUCUCUGUGAGUUCUCUAUUUAAUAUCUGUGUUGGGGUUAACAAUGGUUCUUUUUUACCUCUCUCUCUCUCUCUCUCUCUCUCUCUCACUCUCUCCCUCUCUCAAAAUACUUCAGAGCAGUGUUGCCAACUCAACCUGACAAGAUAUGUCUCAGCCCAUUUUCUAUUUCAGUGGUGUGCUAUCCAGUCCAUCUUUCUGCUUGUUUAUCAGUCCAGUGUGCACAUGUACAUUCACCCCUGAGCCAACAUUUUCCAUGAUUUCCAUGUUCGAAGACAUCAAGGUUGAAUUGGAAGAUGUAGAAAUUGAGAUCAAUAUCGUGAGGCACCUCCCACUUGACUGGCCUGUACAGUACGUGAAGACAAACUACUAAAGUUAUUUUGAUGUAAUGUUUGAUUUAACUGCAUGCUUAUUUAUAAAUGUCGUCAAACACUGACAGAGACACAGUGUCCCUCCCUUUUUCCCGGUUCAGCCUCUCUAGCUCCUACUCCCUGCCUCCCCACAGAAUGUUGGCAGCACUGGCUACAACUCUCCACUGAACUUUAGACCAUACCUAAAGCUUGAUAUCAUGGAAGUACUGUUCCUCAUAUUUGUUACAUGAAUCUGUCAAAAAAUAUAUUUUUAAUUUAAUAUAAAUAAAGAUUGAUUCAAUAUUUGA